Molecule: ribosomal RNA, 302 nt
Filed under: uncultured bacterium
Lineage: Bacteria
Description: bacterial SSU rRNA
Rfam family: Bacterial small subunit ribosomal RNA
Source: RNAcentral
AAUCAACGCUGGCGGCGUGCCUAACACAUGCAAGUCGAACGCGAAAGUCCCGCAAGGGAUCAGUAGAGUGGCAAACGGGUGAGUAACACGUGGGUGACCUGCCUUCGAGCGGGGGAUAACGUCCCGAAAGGGACGCUAAUACCGCAUAACAUCCUGCCUUUGAAGAGGUGGAGAUCAAAGCUGGGGAUCGCAAGACCCGGCACUUGAAGAGGGGCCCGCGCCUGAUUAGCUAGUUGGUGAGGUAACGGCUCACCAAGGCAACGAUCAGUAUCCGGCCUGAGAGGGCGGACGGGACACACCGG